Molecule: ribosomal RNA, 301 nt
Filed under: uncultured bacterium
Lineage: Bacteria
Description: partial 16S ribosomal RNA
Rfam family: Bacterial small subunit ribosomal RNA
Source: RNAcentral
CAGCAGCCGCGGGAAAACGAAGGGGGCUAGCGUUGCUCGGAAUUACUGGGCGUAAAGCGCACGUAGGCGGAUAUUUAAGUCAGGGGUGAAAUCCCAGAGCUCAACUCUGGAACUGCCUUUGAUACUGGGUAUCUUGAGUAUGGAAGAGGUGAGUGGAAUUCCGAGUGUAGAGGUGAAAUUCGUAGAUAUUCGGAGGAACACCAGUGGCGAAGGCGGCUCACUGGUCCAUUACUGACGCUGAGGUGCGAAAGCGUGGGGAGCAAACAGGAUUAGAUACCCCGGUAGUCCCUGUCUCUUAUAC